CGAUUGGGACCUUUUUGAUUCCAAGAAGUGCCGCCGGUUUGCCAUCGAUCCCUUUGCCUUCUCUCUCUCACCAGGUUUAGGCUUUGGUUUCUUGAUGUAUUUCCGGUUCAUCUUUUUGGAGAGGUCAGCAUCAGCUACUCGGAAUUGAUUUCGUUCAAAGAAGGUAGGUUCCUUGUGGACCGUUAUAUCUUUGUUCUUUCCUUUUCCUUGUGGCUGAGGAGUGUUCCUGUUUCCGAGCUCCACUUUCGAGUACUCGGUUUCUGUGAUGCUGGCUUAAUCGGUUCCAACCGACCCGUCUUGAAACACGGACCAAGGAGUCUAACAUAUGUGCGAGUAUGCGGGUUUUACUCCUGUAUGCGCAAUGAAAGUGAGAGUAGGGAGAUUUUGGCUUUGCCAUUCUUCGCACCUACGACCGACCACGAUCUCUGAGAGAGGUUUGAGUUGGAGCAUAUCUGUUAGGACCCGAAAGAUGGUGAACUAUGCCUGAGUAGAAUGAAGUCAGGGGAAACCCUGAUGGAGGUUCGUAGCGAUACUGACGUGCAAAUCGUUCGUCAAACUUGGGUAUAGGGGCGAAAGACUAA
Molecule: ribosomal RNA, 581 nt
Filed under: Toxoplasma gondii
Lineage: Eukaryota; Apicomplexa; Conoidasida; Eucoccidiorida; Sarcocystidae
Description: LSU rRNA
Rfam family: Eukaryotic large subunit ribosomal RNA
Source: RNAcentral